Molecule: unclassified non-coding RNA, 275 nt
Filed under: uncultured fungus
Lineage: Eukaryota; Fungi
Description: sequence contains ITS1, 5.8S rRNA gene
Rfam family: 5.8S ribosomal RNA (bases 227-275)
Source: RNAcentral
UUUCCGUAGGUGAACCUGCGGAAGGAUCAUUAACGAGUUAGGGUCUUCUAGGCCCGACCUCCCAACCCUAUGUUUAUUGAACCUCUGUUGCUUCGGCGGGCCCGUCUCACGACCGCCGGAGGACCGCUGCGAGGCGUCCUCUGGCCCGCGUCCGCCGAUAGCCAACCAAUUAACACUCUGAAUAAAUCGUGUCAUUAUGUCUAAGUCUAUGAUUAAAUUAAAGCAAAACUUUCAACAACGGAUCUCUUGGUUCUGGCAUCGAUGAAGAACGCAGC